RNAcentral lists this ribosomal RNA (645 nucleotides) under uncultured bacterium. Its description in RNAcentral is "bacterial SSU rRNA". It matches the Rfam family "Bacterial small subunit ribosomal RNA", at positions 82 to 743 of the family's 1533-position model. The record is from RNAcentral.
GCUAAAUGGACUCAUGGCGGACGGGUGAGUAACGCGUAAAGAACUUGCCCUUUAGACUGGGAUAACAGAGGGAAACUUCUGAUAAUACUGGAUAAGUUAGUAUAUCGCAUGAUAUGCAAAUGAAAGCUACGGCACUAAAGGAGAGCUUUGCGUCCUAUUAGCUAGUUGGUAAGGUAAGAGCUUACCAAGGCGAUGAUAGGUAGCCGGCCUGAGAGGGUGGACGGCCACAAGGGGACUGAGAUACGGCCCUUACUCCUACGGGAGGCAGCAGUGGGGAAUAUUGGACAAUGGAGGGAACUCUGAUCCAGCAAUUCUGUGUGUGUGAAGAAGGUUUUAGGACUGUAAAACACUUUUAGUAGGGAAGAAAAAAAUGACGGUACCUACAGAAGAAGCAACGGCUAAAUACGUGCCAGCAGCCGCGGUAAUACGUAUGUUGCGAGCGUUAUCCGGAAUUAUUGGGCUUAAAGGGCAUCUAGGCGGUAAGACAAGUUGAAGGUGAAAACCUGUGGCUCAACCAUAGGCUUGCCUACAAAACUGUUGAACUAGAGUACUGGAAAGGUGGGUGGAACUACACGAGUAGAGGUGAAAUUCGUAGAUAUGUGUAGGAAUGCCGAUGAUGAAGAUAACUCACUGGACAGAAACUGA